GAUGGGGAUGCGUCUGAUUAGCUUGUUGGCGAGGUAACGGCUCACCAAGGCAACGAUCAGUAGGGGUUCUGAGAGGAAGGUCCCCCACAUUGGAACUGAGACACGGUCCAAACUCCUACGGGAGGCAGCAGUGAGGAAUAUUGGUCAAUGGGCGGAAGUCUGAACCAGCCAAGUAGCGUGCAGGAAGACGGCCCUAUGGGUUGUAAACUGCUUUUAUAUGAGGAUAAAGUGAAUCACGUGUGAGUGAUUGCAGGUAUCAUAUGAAUAAGGACCGGCUAAUUCCGUGCCAGCAGCCGCGGUAAUACGGAAGGUUCGGGCGUUAUCCGGAUUUAUUGGGUUUAAAGGGAGCGUAGGCGGGAGAUUAAGUGUGUUGUGAAAUGUAGACGCUCAACAUUUGACUUGCAGCGCAUACUGUCAUCCUUGAGUACACACAACGUAGGCGGAAUUCAUGGUGUAGCGGUGAAAUGCUUAGAUAUCACGAAGAACUCCGAUUGCGAAGGCAGCAUACGGGAGCGCAACUGACGCUUAAGCUCGAAGGUGCGGGUAUCGAACAGGAUUAGAUACCCUGGUAGUCCGCACAGUAAACGAUGGAUGCCCGCU
RNAcentral lists this ribosomal RNA (600 nucleotides) under uncultured Bacteroidota bacterium. RNAcentral's name for it is "bacterial SSU rRNA". It matches the Rfam family "Bacterial small subunit ribosomal RNA", at positions 224 to 821 of the family's 1533-position model. Lineage: Bacteria; Pseudomonadati; Bacteroidota. The record is from RNAcentral.